AAUGAGUUAUUUAGUUAAUUUGUAAGUUCUUCCACAGGACAUCAGAUUUCUUGCCAUUGUCAGAAUCUGGGGGAAUGAAUCUUGUGAUUCUGGGGAACACGUACAAAUAUUAUUGAGUGUGACCUCAUCAUGGGGUAGGCUCAUAGAAGGUGAAGAGCAUCUUCGUUUUGAUAACGGUCUUUACUUUUGACUGCUGACAUUUGAAUUUGAUAAUGAAGUCCUCAAUUGAUUUU
Camelina sativa (false flax) is the source of this 233-nucleotide non-coding RNA. Lineage: Eukaryota; Viridiplantae; Streptophyta; Magnoliopsida; Brassicales; Brassicaceae. The record is from RefSeq and is a predicted model, not a curated record.